CUCCAAGGAUUGUACAUAGAGACUCAUUUUUCUUUCUUCCUUCUUACAAAUUUUAUUAUUUCUUGCAUGCCGGUGAUCGGUAUCAUUGUCGCCGCACCCGAACACCAUAGUGUCACCUCUCUUUACUCUCCUUCUCCAACCUUCGAAAGCAUGCCAUCAAAGCAAAAGAAUUCAAACGAAUUCCAAAACCUUCAAGGGCAAGAUUAUCAUUACACUACGAGG
Molecule: long non-coding RNA, 222 nt
Filed under: Elaeis guineensis (African oil palm)
Lineage: Eukaryota; Viridiplantae; Streptophyta; Magnoliopsida; Arecales; Arecaceae
Description: long non-coding RNA (EGUI_LNC022535)
Source: RNAcentral